CAGAUCUGUGCGUCCGCUCUGUCUCCUGAGAUCCUAUGAGUCACCAUUCUCCCCCAUGGCCUCUAUUGUGCUGAAGGAGACCUCCCUCCCACACUUUCUGAGCUGUGACACGGGGAGGGUCCUGGGAUCAAGCCCCCAAGCAUCCACCCCGCUGCAGUGUCCUUGACCAACACACUGAAUUCCUACCAGCCGCAGGGAGGCUGUUCUGCAUUCGACCCCGACCUUUGAUGUCUGCGUGGAGUAGCAGCUGGGAAAAGAGGUUUUUCCUAUGGGAGUCAUAUUACAUUGUUACAUGCACAGUAAGCCCUAAAGUGGCUUAUAGCAGGUUAGACGGGUUACAGCAGCAUUUGGUCAGCUGGCGAAUUGUGAGUGUUUUUUUUUCUCUUCAGCUCAUUGCUUUAUUUCCUGUCAUGUGGCUGAUGUAUGAGUGCAGAGGACAGAUGGCUGUACAAGUGGUGUGCUCUUUUCCUGGUCUGUUAAAAUAAAAUCAAGAAACAAUCUGUGAGGCCACAGAAUAACCGUCAA
Micropterus dolomieu (smallmouth bass) is the source of this 525-nucleotide long non-coding RNA. RefSeq lists it as uncharacterized. The record is from RefSeq and is a predicted model, not a curated record. Lineage: Eukaryota; Metazoa; Chordata; Actinopteri; Centrarchiformes; Centrarchidae. The transcript has 2 exons.